UUCACACCUGAAUCCCUCAUUUCACCGGCGACUAGCCGGUGUCGGCGCAACUCAGGCCACCGGUGCCCCUCCUCCGAUGCGACACACCCACCCCCAUACACUCACACCCCUCGGUAAUCAAAAGAGCCGCCGUGUGCGGCGGCGAGACCAGAAAAACGGGAGUAGAGAGAGAUGAGACGGAGUCCCGGUGGUCGGAGGCAGUGGUGAGCUUGGUGGUGGACCGGCGGUAGCGCCGCCGCUCACGGCGGCGGCGGCGGAGGCACAGGCGGUGGUGCUUAUGUCAAGUUACGGCACGUUUCAUUGAAGUGACGAUGAGGGGGGGGGGUUUGCAUCGGGGUUGACGGAAGUGAUGGUGAUCGCCGGCUGUUUGGUCCGGUUCGAUCAAAUAGUCAGCAACUCAGUUACGAGUCAAAUCCAGCAGGUUCUGGGUGCUUCGGCUUGAGUCACUUUACAGUUUCGGGUGCGGGUCAACUCAGCUUCGGUUUGGUUGACUCGGUCAAACAGAGCCAACUCGGUCAACACGGUCAAACCGAGUC
This 536-nucleotide long non-coding RNA is filed under the name Helianthus annuus (common sunflower). RNAcentral describes it as "hypothetical non coding rna". The record is from RNAcentral. Lineage: Eukaryota; Viridiplantae; Streptophyta; Magnoliopsida; Asterales; Asteraceae.